AUGAACCUUUGGCCAUGGUAUCUGUCACGUCACCAGAAUGGCCAGAACAGAGCAUGGUAAAGUUUAGCUCAAAGGAGAGUCACAAAAACUUCUGCAAUUCCAUCUUCUUAGGGCAAAGCGAUGCCAAGCCACAACAAUCAGUCCUGAAGUCACCUUUCAGAAAACACAGCUUUCAAGCAUAAGUCAGAGCCAACGGAAAGCAGAGCAAAUACGGGAUAAACUGAGGGAAGGAGCAAGGACUGUGAAC
Microtus oregoni (creeping vole) is the source of this 247-nucleotide long non-coding RNA. RefSeq lists it as uncharacterized. NCBI's taxonomy places the organism in Eukaryota, Metazoa, Chordata, Mammalia, Rodentia, Cricetidae. The record is from RefSeq and is a predicted model, not a curated record. The transcript is spliced from 3 exons.